Molecule: ribosomal RNA, 350 nt
Filed under: uncultured bacterium
Lineage: Bacteria
Description: partial 16S ribosomal RNA
Rfam family: Bacterial small subunit ribosomal RNA
Source: RNAcentral
CCUACGGGAGGCAGCAGUGGGGAAUAUUGCACAAUGGGGGAAACCCUGAUGCAGCAACGCCGCGUGAGGGAGGAAGGAUUUCGGUAUGUAAAGCUCUAGCAGCAGGGAAGAGAAAAGAAGGUACCGGAAAAAGAAGCCCCGGCUAACUACGUGCCAGCAGCCGCGGUAAUACGAAGGGGGCAAGCGUUAGCCGGAUUUACUGGGUGUAAAGGGAGCGUAGACGGAAAGGAAAGUCAGAAGUGAAAACCCAAGGCUCAACCAUGGGACUGCUUUUGAAACUGUCAAACUAGAGUACGGGAGAGGUAAGUGGACUUCCUGGUGUAGCGGUGACAUGCGUAGCUCUUAGGCGG